CAGCAGCCGCGGGAAUACGAAGGGGGCUAGCGUUGUUCGGAUUUACUGGGCGUAAGGGCGCGUAGGCGGACUGAUAAGUCAGGGGUGAAAUCCCAAGGCUCAACCUUGGAACUGCCUUUGAUACUGUUUGUCUUGAGUUCGAGAGAGGUAAGUGGAACUGCGAGUGUAGAGGUGAAAUUCGUAGAUAUUCGCAAGAACACCAGUGGCGAAGGCGGCUUACUGGCUCGAAACUGACGCUGAGGCGCGAAAGCGUGGGGAGCAAACAGGAUUAGAUACCCCAGUAGUCCCUGUCUCUUAUACA
Molecule: ribosomal RNA, 301 nt
Filed under: uncultured bacterium
Lineage: Bacteria
Description: partial 16S ribosomal RNA
Rfam family: Bacterial small subunit ribosomal RNA
Source: RNAcentral